UUAAAAUGUUAAUUUUAAAACUAAAGUAGUAUUAGUUAUGUUCUUUAAAUUUAAAGAUUUUGGCGGUAUUUUAGUCUAUUCAGAGGAACCUGUUCUAUAAUUGAUAGUCCACGAUUAACUUUACUUAAAUUUAAAAGUUUGUAUAUCGUUGUUUAUAGAAAAUUUUUUAAGAAAAAAAAUUUUUGAUAAAUUUAAUAAAAUUAUAAAUCAAAUCAAGGUGCAGUUUAUAUUUAAGAAGAAAUGGGUUACAAUAAAAUUAUUUAAAUGAAUUUAAAUUUUAAAAUGUUUAAUGAAGGAGGAUUUGAUAGUAAUUUUAUUAAUUUUAAUAAAAUGAUUUUAGCUCUAGAAUAUGU
RNAcentral lists this ribosomal RNA (353 nucleotides) under Dineutus truncatus. RNAcentral's name for it is "partial 12S ribosomal RNA". Lineage: Eukaryota; Metazoa; Arthropoda; Insecta; Coleoptera; Gyrinidae. The record is from RNAcentral.